This is a long non-coding RNA of Cyprinus carpio carpio, 2023 nucleotides long. NCBI's taxonomy places the organism in Eukaryota, Metazoa, Chordata, Actinopteri, Cypriniformes, Cyprinidae. The record is from Ensembl.
GACGUAAUAUGACUGACACAGGCCUCACCGAAUAAGCGCUUCCAGGGAGCAUGAUUGGCAGCGGCAUUGACCAAUGAGCGUUCGAGCUGCGGCAGCUAUGGCGUCUGCUGAUUUGCAACCCGCCGAAAUAGGAUCGGUGAAGAAGGAGACCUUCGAUCGGUUCGCCAUGGACUGUUCUAGGAUCAGUAAGGUUUAAAUACGACUCUAACCAUAGAGCGAUACAGAGUUGUGUUAAAAAGCUGGUCAUCGUUGGUCAUCAACAAGCUGGUGCUUGUGAGAGGGAAAAAGAUGGAUCCGUCUGCAGCCUCAACCACAACCUCCAAACAUUGCACAAAUCAUCACACAGCACGUGAUACCUCAAGAAGUCUCCUGUCAGGCUAUACCGCACACGAUCCCAUCGCACAUCCAAAUGCCAACCCACAUCCAGACUCAGUCACACAUCCAGCCCGCUCCACAUCUGCAGACUCCACCGCAAGGCCACAUGGAAGCACAGGCUCAUAUUCCGACCCAAGACCACGUAUCAAUACAAGGUCCAUCAGAAGGCCAGAGUGCCGAGCCGUCUCAAGAUGGUGCAGUGAACUCACUGCAAGUCCCUUUUGCAGAGGUAGCCUCCCUGCUGGACCCUAACAUGAAGAGCUCAAAGGCUCGCAAAUACCAGAUCCAUUACGACGAGGUGAAGAGGAGAUUGGAACCACCUGAAAAGAUGUCUCUCCGAUCUCUGGCUGCCUAUACAAGAGUGAGUCGAGGUCCGGCUAGUAAGAAAACACUGUUGGAGUCUCUAAAUGUCUUUGGUCUGUCACCAAGCACCAAUACAGCAGUGUCCAGUUCCUUUUCCAAACUAACCGAAGGUGACACGGCUGCCCUUUGCAAAGACAUGAAGGAUUUUGCACUGCAAUAUGUCGAUUAUGAGAAUAUGGCGAAACAGCUGCUACCUGAAACAAACCAAGUGCAGCACUGGUCAAAAAUCAUCGAAACAAGGAAUUAUCUAGAGGAGAUGAGGAAGAUUUUUAAUGACCCUCUGAAUACACGUUUGUUCGCCAAUGUUACGCAUGGCCUUGGUAACGGCAUGAUGGACGUGGCUCUCGAUAUCAUAGAUAACGUCAUCGACCGACAAAUCCGAAUCCUCUCAGGGAACACCGACCCCAAACCUGAACCUCCGGUGAGAAGGAUAAGGAAACGCAACCGCAAGCCCAAAGCCGCCACGGAAGACGGCAAACCUAAAGAAAAGGGCAAAAGGGGACGGAAGAAAGGGAAACAGAUGCGGCUGGAUUCUGUUGUUCCUGAGGUUCAACAGUCCUCGGAGAUGGAGAGCAGCAUGUUAACGCUAGUCUCUGUAGGAUACGAAACCAUUUCCAGUGGACUUAACCCCAACAAUGCAGGUCUUGCGUAACAUCACGUACCUGAAAGGUGCAGAGAGACACUGUGAAUUCUGAGUGCAAAAAGUUUUUCAUAGAAAAUUUUAGUUUUAUAAAUGUUAGACUUCUCUCCUUCUCUCAAGACUGGCUAUAUUUUGUUUAGUUUUUUCUCACAAUCUGGUCAGUCAAGAAAAUAUAAUGUAGGUCUGAGAGGAUGUUGGCAGAGAUGUUUUGAUUUAAACCAAUCAUGUAUUGCCCUCAACCUUUUGUUUUGCCGUUUGUGGCAAAGAACAAGUGUACACAGACCAUCUAUGCUAUUAACGUAGCAUGCAAGCAAUUUUUUUUUCAAGCACUAUGUUGUAUUCACAAUAUCAGUUAGUCUCAUUUUAGAAUUUUAUCUCUGAAGGGUUCUUUGAUUCUGUUGAACUUAAUCUUACAAACUCCAAGCAAUUUAGUUUGAGAAUGAACAUAUCUUCUCUUGGACAUUGUUUGAUUUUUUUGGACUAUUUAUUUCCUUUUUCUGUUUGUGUCUGAUAUUUAGUGUAUGUGAACGACUGUAGCCUGUACUCGGUAAGUUUUGCAGAUUGCCCAUUAUGUGCUUGUAUUAAAAGCUUCACCUUUUUUAAGCAAUUUGUAUAUUUAUUACAUUUAUAUUGCUUGCAGAGCGC